ACGGAAGGCAGCAGUAGGGAAUCUUCCACAAUGGGCGAAAGCCUGAUGGAGCAACGCCGCGUGUGUGAUGAAGGGUUUCGGCUCGUAAAACACUGUUGUAAGAGAAGAAUGACAUUGAGAGUAACUGUUCAAUGUGUGACGGUAUCUUACCAGAAAGGAACGGCUAAAUACGUGCCAGCAGCCGCGGUAAUACGUAUGUUCCAAGCGUUAUCCGGAUUUAUUGGGCGUAAAGCGAGCGCAGACGGUUAUUUAAGUCUGAGGUGAAAGCCCUCAGCUCAACUGAGGAAUUGCUUUGGAAACUGGAUGACUUGAUUGCUGUAGAGGAAAGUGGAACUCCAUGUGUAGCGGUGAAGUGCGUAGAUAUAUGGAAGAACCCCAGUGGCGAAGGCGGCUUUCUGGACUGUAACUGACGUUGAGGCUCGAAAGUGUGGGUAGCGAACAGGAUUAGAUACCCUGGUA
Molecule: ribosomal RNA, 459 nt
Filed under: uncultured Weissella sp.
Lineage: Bacteria; Bacillati; Bacillota; Bacilli; Lactobacillales; Lactobacillaceae
Description: partial 16S ribosomal RNA
Rfam family: Bacterial small subunit ribosomal RNA
Source: RNAcentral